Molecule: long non-coding RNA, 403 nt
Organism: Mauremys mutica (yellowpond turtle)
Lineage: Eukaryota; Metazoa; Chordata; Testudines; Geoemydidae
Exons: 3
Source: RefSeq, a predicted model, not a curated record
UUAUCAGGAAGGAGGUUGGGAAAUGGGUGCUAUCUCAGAGCUAGAGAGAUUUAAAGGAUGAAAAGUCAGAAUCUUGAAAAUUUUCAUGACCUGAAAAAAUCCAGAAUUGAUUCAGAUGGUCAAGGAGCUGAGCCUGAGCAGUGCUGUCCUAAGAAGAGUCACAACUGGAUUGCUCAAGGAGACACUGCAACCGAUGCUGGGACUAUCCUAGAAGGAGCCUAACUGGACUGGGCCAAAGGGAAAAUCCAUACUAGAUCAGAAUGGUGACAGAAUGGUUAUGGGGAAGAUGUGGGAUGGAAAUGGGUUAUAUAGGGUGAAGCCUAUUAUCUGAUUUUGAGGUUUGAAGCUUAGUGGGUUCCAGGUGUAUUCUGAUUUCCCACCCUAACACAUUCCUGUAUGUAUC